RNAcentral lists this transfer RNA (72 nucleotides) under Candidatus Shapirobacteria bacterium CG_4_8_14_3_um_filter_39_11. Its description in RNAcentral is "tRNA-Val". It matches the Rfam family "tRNA". Rfam says of the family: Transfer RNA (tRNA) molecules are approximately 80 nucleotides in length. Their secondary structure includes four short double-helical elements and three loops (D, anti-codon, and T loops). Lineage: Bacteria; Candidatus Shapironibacteriota. The record is from RNAcentral.
GGGUACAUAGCUCAGUGGUAGAGCGCUUCGUUCACAUCGAAGAGGUCUUUGGUUCAAAUCCAAAUGUACCCA